RNAcentral lists this transfer RNA (71 nucleotides) under Candidatus Photodesmus anomalopis. RNAcentral describes it as "Candidatus Photodesmus katoptron tRNA-Phe". It matches the Rfam family "tRNA". Rfam says of the family: Transfer RNA (tRNA) molecules are approximately 80 nucleotides in length. Lineage: Bacteria; Pseudomonadati; Pseudomonadota; Gammaproteobacteria; Vibrionales; Vibrionaceae. The record is from RNAcentral.
GAUAGCUCAGUCGGUAGAGCAGAGGACUGAAAAUCCUCGUGUCGGUGGUUCAAUUCCGCCUCGAGGCACCA